UUGCUCCUUUGACGUUAGCGGCGGACGGGUGAGUAACACGUGGGUAACCUACCUAUAAGACUGGGAUAACUUCGGGAAACCGGAGCUAAUACCGGAUAAUAUUUCGAACCGCAUGGUUCGAUAGUGAAAGAUGGUUUUGCUAUCACUUAUAGAUGGACCCGCGCCGUAUUAGCUAGUUGGUAAGGUAACGGCUUACCAAGGCGACGAUACGUAGCCGACCUGAGAGGGUGAUCGGCCACACUGGAACUGAGACACGGUCCAGACUCCUACGGGAGGCAGCAGUAGGGAAUCUUCCGCAAUGGGCGAAAGCCUGACGGAGCAACGCCGCGUGAGUGAUGAAGGUCUUCGGAUCGUAAAACUCUGUUAUUAGGGAAGAACAUACGUGUAAGUAACUAUGCACGUCUUGACGGUACCUAAUCAGAAAGCCACGGCUAACUACGUGCCAGCAGCCGCGGUAAUACGUAGGUGGCAAGCGUUAUCCGGAAUUAUUGGGCGUAAAGCGCGCGUAGGCGGUUUUUUAAGUCUGAUGUGAAAGCCCACGGCUCAACCGUGGAGGGUCAUUGGAAACUGUAAAACUUGAGUGCAGAAGAGGAAAGUGGAAUUCCAUGUGUAGCGGUGAAAUGCGCAGAGAUAUGGAGGAACACCAGUGGCGAAGGCGACUUUCUGGUCUGUAACUGACGCUGAUGUGCGAAAGCGUGGGGGAUCAAACAGGAUUAGAUACCCUGGUA
This 728-nucleotide ribosomal RNA is filed under the name Staphylococcus epidermidis. RNAcentral describes it as "bacterial SSU rRNA". It matches the Rfam family "Bacterial small subunit ribosomal RNA", at positions 80 to 792 of the family's 1533-position model. The record is from RNAcentral. Lineage: Bacteria; Bacillati; Bacillota; Bacilli; Caryophanales; Staphylococcaceae.